This 484-nucleotide ribosomal RNA is filed under the name uncultured bacterium. RNAcentral's name for it is "partial 16S ribosomal RNA". It matches the Rfam family "Bacterial small subunit ribosomal RNA", at positions 29 to 507 of the family's 1533-position model. The record is from RNAcentral.
AAUGAACGAGGGGGGCAGGCCUAACACAUGCAAGUCGAGCGGACGAAGGGAGCUCGAUACUGGCUUCCGCAGCGGACGGGCAGGUAAUGCCCAGGAAUCUGCCUGGCAGAGGGGGCUAACGUCCGGUCACGGGCGCUAAUACCGUAUCCGUCAAGAGGGUGAAAGUGGGGGUUCAUCGGACCUCACGCUAUUUGAUGACCCUUGGCCGGAUUAGCUAGUUGGAGGUGUAAAGGCGUACCAAGUCGACGAUCCGUAACAGGUCUGAGAGGGUGAUCAGUCACACUGGAACUGAGACACGGUCCAGACUCCUACGGGAGGCAGCAGUAGGGAAUAUUCGGCAAUGGGCGAAAGCCUGAUCCAGCCACGCCGCGUGUGUGAAGAAGGUCUUCGGAUCGUAAAGCUCUGUAAUUAGGGAAGAAGAGCAGUGUAUGAAUACCUGGCCGUUUUGACGUUACCAACAGAAUAAGCACCGGCUAACUUCGUG